GAGCGUGCGCGGGGGGUCGCCGGCGGUGGCCGUAUUGCACCGUCGGAGGAAAGUCCGAGCUGCGCAGGGCAGGGUGCCGGGUAACGCCCGGGCGCCGUGAGGCGACGGAAAGUGCAACAGAGAAGAGACCGCCGAUGGCCGGAGGCGUAGCCUGCGGCACAGGCAAGGGUGAAACGGUGCGGUAAGAGCGCACCGGGCUGCCGGCAACGGUGAGCCGCUGGCAAACCCCACCUGCAGCAAGGCCAAGCAGGAGCGAGGGACGGCCCGUCCCGUUCGAGCUCCGGGUGGGCCGCACGAGGCCGUCGGCGACGGCGGUCCCAGAUGAAUGACUCUCGCCUCGCCCGCAGGCGAGGUACAGAACUCGGCUUACAGCGCGCGCUCGCCG
Molecule: RNase P RNA, 385 nt
Filed under: Gemmatimonadota bacterium
Lineage: Bacteria; Pseudomonadati; Gemmatimonadota
Description: Gemmatimonadetes bacterium (sponge metagenome) RNase P RNA component class A
Rfam family: Bacterial RNase P class A
About the family: Ribonuclease P (RNase P) is a ubiquitous endoribonuclease, found in archaea, bacteria and eukarya as well as chloroplasts and mitochondria.
Source: RNAcentral